Molecule: long non-coding RNA, 983 nt
Organism: Megalobrama amblycephala (Wuchang bream)
Lineage: Eukaryota; Metazoa; Chordata; Actinopteri; Cypriniformes; Xenocyprididae
Exons: 3
Source: RefSeq, a predicted model, not a curated record
GAUAUUGAUUGAUGUGAAAAAAGAUAGAAAAUUUUAGCAUAAGGCAACAAAAAUGUGGAGAAAAUGAAAACAGUUGAAAUUGACAACACCUUCCAAAAUAUCAUUAGCUACAGGUAAGACAAGUGGCUAUACUGAAUAAUGAUAAAAAUAAAAUAAAAAAUCCUAAUCAAACUGAACCAUAUGAUGAUGUUAAUUUACGUUUAUCUUUUCUCUAGAUGCUCAAACCUCAGGUAACAUUCCUGGCAACACUGACAUGAGUGCAGUAGUGAUGGUCACAAUAGUGUCUCUGUGUGUCCUCACAGCACUGAUCAUCUGUGGGAUUCUUUAUUUCAGAAAACGAAAGCAGAAUAUCAACAGCCAAACUGAAGUGAACUGCAGGCAUUCCACAUAUUAUUCUGAAAUUCCAGGAGGACUGGAUGUCCCGUUGUAUUCUGUAGUUCAACGUACAUGAAUCAUGACCUCUUGUAGGUUACUACAACACAAUAAUCUUUAAACUGUAAUUAUAUAAUAAAUAGAAUAAUCAUGAAGUUAAAUAAUUCAUUUUUCAUCUGUCCUGAACUACACAAAACAUGUUGACAAUUAAGCUGGAAUAAAUCACAUCAAAUUGGUUUGGACUAAUUUAUGUGAAAUAUGCCAAAUUUUAGGUGAAAUAUGCCACAUGUAAUACUGUACUGCUUGUCCUCUUCAGUCUGAAUUUAAUGACUAGCAUCAUUUUGUAAAACACAUCACAAGAUAUGUUAUAGCUUGCAUUGCCAUUUUUGCAUUGCUCAGUUUCACAGAAUUUAUUAUCUCACUUCAUAACAUGGCCAAAAAUAUAAAUGCAGUAUGCAUCUGCAAAUGUGCUUGAUUCAAACAAUACUUUUUUUCCUUUUUCUUUUACUUUGACCAAAUUAUUUUUUUAACAUUAUCUCACAACAGUUGGUGUGAACUGCGAACAAGCGAAGCUCCUGCAUGCAAACCAGAUGACAAUAUAAUGCUGUGAA